AUUAAGAAUAUUAAUGCUAGUAAAUCAUAAUAACAAAAUAAUAAUAGCAAAAUACCUAUUGGCACCACUGUUUCCUGAACCAUUUCCCCCUCAGUACAUUUAUAUUGUUUCUACAAUAUGCAUUUGAUUCCUUGGAGGCACAUUAUGCAGGUUUGUACCAUUUUGAGGUAUGUUUUUUGUAGAUGAAAACUUCUUUUUUAUUUAUUUAUUUUAAGGCACGUGGUCAUGUGAAGGACAGAUAAACACACUAGUUGUUCCCACUAGAUGGCUGUUUACUACUGUGAUCCAGGCAUGAAAGAGCAGUUUUUAUAACACAGUGUCGCCAAAUAUAUUCCCAAAAUACAUCCGUUAACAAGCUAGCUAUCGGUGCCAGCUGUGUGUUCACAAAGCAAGUCUGUGUCGGUUUUUUUUUUUGCGAGCUAGCUUGCUAGCUCAAGUUGAAAUGUCCUUGCUGCUUUUUAAAAAUGACAUAAACAUUUCUAAAGGCUAAAGUGAACAGACACAAGCUAAGAUGAAUUUCUCAGUAACACUUUGCAAAGCAGAUUUCAGAUUCAAACGGUAAGUGUGUGUGUGUGUGUGUGUGUGUGUGUGUGCUGCAGACACCUUUUCACACUGAGGUAUGAGUGGAGUGAACAGUAGCACACAGCAGUAAACACACACACACAGAAAUAAAGGCUCCUCAACACAAUACCCUCUAACGAGUUAGCACUUCAUGGCAACCCAAAUAUAAUCAAAUAAGCUAGCAGCUUGUCUCUUGGUGCACCUUAGUGUAAAUGCGUUUGAUCCUUCAGUGCCUGGUAUAAAGGGCUUUGUCACACUGAUUUUGCAUCUUUGAUCCUGUGCAUCUUUGUUAUUCUGGCUCGCAGCUGUUGUGUUUCAAGACAUGGCAUAUGAAGAUGGACCCCUGCAAGGUUGAUGCUAUGUCAAAUCAUCUAAUGCUUUCUGCAGUGAUAAAAUAAUCACACAAUGAGAGCAUCAGUUCCAGUUUUAAAUGUCCGCAGUGUGGCACAGAACUCAACACAAGUUAUCACACUUACUGUGAGUCACUUGUUUCUCUGCAUUUUAAAAGCACAACUUGUAAAUGAAUGGUUUCGGAAUGCAAAAUGUGGGUUACCAGAUGGUCGGGAAGGAUCAUGUGACAAAACUUAGAGCUGAGGUUUCUUAGUGAGUUCACGUGAUAGCAGUAUUCUUUAUACUGUGUACAAUUAUGUUUUUAAAAACUGCCUUGUUUUCUUUUAUAUAUUUGUUUUGUACAAUUCAGUCAGCCAAAGGAUCUAGCAUUUCCAAUUUCCAAAGUAGCAUUCCUAUUUUUGGACUUCUUUUGCUGAAGCCACCACAUAUGGGUCAUCAGUGAUGAGUUUUGUUAUAAAUAAGCAGGCAAGAGAAAAACAAGCAAACAUGUCACAACGAUAACUCGUCUGUCAAUCACCCUGGUGUUAUUUUUGAAUAUGCUAUUCCUGGAUGUAAGGACACAGUUGCCAGUUAGAAGGAAAAGUAUUCCAACCCAGAGAUGUAAAAGACGUAAGUGGAAAGCAAUAUGCUUUUUUGGUUUCAUCAGCUCAGAACUGUCACUAAUCAAAAUAUUUAAAAAUGUUUGACUAAUGUGCUAUGUAAUCAUAUGAUCUGUGGGAACAGCCAUUUUAAGUAUACGGAAUACUGUACACUAACUAUAAUUUGAAUACAUAUGAAUAUAACUAUAACUGUCAAUUUGUAUUUUUAUUUCCAAUUAAAGUACUUAGUAGUUACACAAUAUGCAACAAUUCGUUUUUUUAUGAGCAACUACUUUUGCUAUCAUUUUAAAAAUUAAUUUUGAUGUAAUAUGGUCAUGUAAAGGACAUAAAACACACCUGUCGUUCCAACCAGCUAUCCAGGCUAUGACCCAUGUAGAUCAGUUGUCCAGGUGGGGAAAGUAUGCCACUUAGCAAGCGUUUGUCAGUGCCAAAUGGCUAUUAGUGGUGACUGCAAGGUUUCUGAAUGCUUUUUAGGUUGGCAGCUAGUAGGCUUUAGAUCAAAACUCCAUAAUGCUGACGGCCUAUGGCAGAUAUGACUAGAGAGUCCGAUUAGGUUUGUGAAAUGAGUGACUUUUUCUUACUCUUAACACUUGG
Molecule: long non-coding RNA, 2105 nt
Organism: Clupea harengus (Atlantic herring)
Lineage: Eukaryota; Metazoa; Chordata; Actinopteri; Clupeiformes; Clupeidae
Source: Ensembl